This 75-nucleotide transfer RNA is filed under the name Maribellus luteus. Its description in RNAcentral is "Prolixibacteraceae bacterium XSD2 tRNA-Arg". It matches the Rfam family "tRNA". Rfam says of the family: Transfer RNA (tRNA) molecules are approximately 80 nucleotides in length. RNAcentral also lists the same sequence under 1 other name. The record is from RNAcentral. Lineage: Bacteria; Pseudomonadati; Bacteroidota; Bacteroidia; Marinilabiliales; Prolixibacteraceae.
GGUCCCGUAGUUCAACGGAUAGAAUAGCAGUUUCCUAAACUGUAGAUAUGGGUUCGAUUCCCGUCGGGACUACCA